RNAcentral lists this long non-coding RNA (1907 nucleotides) under Coffea arabica (coffee). RNAcentral's name for it is "long non-coding RNA (CARA_LNC005450)". The record is from RNAcentral. Lineage: Eukaryota; Viridiplantae; Streptophyta; Magnoliopsida; Gentianales; Rubiaceae.
AGAGAGUUGAGAAGAAAAGUUGUCUCCCUUUCUUGCUUUCUUCCUAAAGCAGACUCGAGUGAGUGAGACAGAGUGUGAGGGAAAAGAAAGUGUAAGCUUCACCAUCAGCUAACUAUACGAACGAAAACAGAAGGGAGGUCGAGUGAGGAGUUGUGAUAGCAAACUUGAGCAGUCUGCAUUAUCGAUUUGUAAGGGAAAAGAGGUAAGAAUCUACCAUAACCUUCUGCUUAUUUGGCACAAAUAAGUAUAUAUACAAGCUGCAUGUUAGUUUUAGCAAGGCAUAAUGAGUUUUAACCGAGGAGAAAUCUGAUAAAGGAGAAAAAGAUGAGAACUGGACAGAAAUGGAGGGAACCGAGAGUUGUUGUUGAGUUGCAGCCCAUAAAUAAAGAAAAUUUUCCGUAAUAACCUCUUAGUUAUUCAGUACACUUGAAUAUUAAGGUUGCAUGUUGGAUUGUAGCUAAGAAAAACUAAGCUUGGUUGAAGGAAAUAGUUGGAAGUUUCUGCUAUGCUGGCCGAAGGAGGAAAGACAGAAAUGUCCAAGUUUCUUUAUAUAUUUUGGUUCUAAACUCCUACGUUGAGGCUUAGUUCAUUGCAUAAUAUUUUAGUUUUGGCAUGCAUGUUAGAUUUGGGUAUGAAAUGAAGUAGUUAAUGGAGGAAUUUCUUGCUAAAAGAUUGAUUGCUGUCCGAAGCUUUCUAUCAAGGCCGAGAGAGAGAGAGAGAGUUAAACCUCUGAUCAGUUUUUCCUUCAAACUCCACUCUGUAAACUUUCACAUCUGAUAUCUAAAGUUACUGGGUAGUUUAAUACUUGUAUUUGGCAUGAUGAGCUGGAGUUAAAAUUGAAGGAGUUAUGAUAAAAAUGUUGCAUAUUAAACUGCGGCACUGCUGGAAGCUUUAGUUGUCCAAUGUCUUAGCUGAUGUCAGAUUGUUGUGCAUGGCUGUUGGGUUGAAUAAUCUGUUGAAACUAGAUGCUCUUUGUCUUGGUUUAUGCUGGACUGAAUGUACUUUUAAUAGUUAGAGCUUUAAGCAAGUGAAAGAAUAGCGUUUUCGCCGAAAGCUUGAAGUAACGUUACUAGUUUUGGUUGCUGUCCGAGAAAUGAAACAGAUUGUGCUUUUGACCGUCCCAUUUUGGCCUUGAAAACGCAAUAUCUGGAUGUCGAUGUCUUCAUAGGAAAUGUAGGUCUAGGUCUUAGCUUCAAAACACUAUAAAAUUCACCUCAAUCCGAUAAGCGUAACUCCAAUUACGAUCAAAACACCCGAGGAUGGCAAAGCUGCCUUUCCUUUUGUUCCCGAAUGCACUUUGCUAAGAUGCUAACCGUGAGGAACCAACUUUUAACCAACAUUUCCUCUAAUUUUCAACUUUGUAAGCUUUCGUAAAUGAUAGUUACGGUUAGUCUAAGAUUUAAUGGCUUUAUAUAGCUCCACAAGUAGAGUUAAACUAAAGCAAAUGAGAGGAAAACACAUGAUAAUUAAAUUGGCUUCUAAUUACUUAAUACUAUCUUUACAAAUAAUUUAAAGACUAUAAAAUUUGAGGGACUGGUGUACUGGAAUAAAAUUUAAUUUACAAACAACCUAGAGUUUAAUUAAUUAAAAAGGGGACCAAUGGAGUGCUCCUAAGCCAUAAUCUUAGAAUCUUGAGUGGAAAAUGAUUUAAUCCUAGAAUAAAUAUCUUAUAAAUUAUUAACUUGGGAAAACAGGUAUAAUUCUUGAUUAAAAUAAUAAAGUAAAUAAGUUUCAAAAUAAAAGAUAAAUGAAUAUUGAAUAUAUUAUAUUUGUACUUUAAAGUCAAACUUGAUUUUAAUAGUUCAAGUGAUAAAGUAAGAACAAUAAGUGAACAUCUACAAACUAUGUAUUUGAUUUGGAAUUAUUAACUUGUCCAGGAAGUAGCUGUGAACCAGAAAAUCGACUCG